UGCACUUAUACUACUACUACUUCGAAGUUAUAUAGUAAUGAGUAUAAUUGACUGACUUUAAUUAAUGUCUAAUAAAGAAUCAGUCUGUUGUCUGUCUACUCUGUCUGUAAUAAAAUAUUACAAGUAUAUUUGACCCACUGAGGUUUCAGAUGAAGUUGAAAAUCUGCAUACAUAUGUAAGUAGGGUGACAAUGAAAUAUUAUGGUACCAUCGAGCUGAUCUGAUGCAUGAGAGAGGAGGUGGCCAUAGGAACUCUGUGUCAAAAUAUCACAACCAAAUUGCGUUUGAGGUUGUUAGAAUUGUCUCAAUGAGUAUUGUUUUCCUUUGGAAAGAAGUACAGUUAAGACCUGUUCCGUAAAGUUAAUUAACAUACAAAACUUUCCGAUGAACAAAAUUAUUUUAUCGUCAACUAUAUUAUUUAUCCCUUCAAGUGGUGGCCCACCACUCACGGGUCGAUGCGAUAGCCAGAAAGCUGUCGGCCAACAGAGGGUGGUUAGUGAGGUGUUGCCAUAUUUAGUGGCAAAAUUAAAGGCUUUGAAGUAUAUUUACGCUCUUCUAGCGCCCAAAAGUAGCUAGAAAGUUAGACAAGGAAAACAUACAUACACACGCUUGUUAACGCUUGGUUGCUAAGGACCGUUCAUCCGGGAUCGAACGCCUAGGUCGAGUUCUGUCUUGAUUUUUAAAGAGGCAAAAAUGUCAUAUAAACUUUUUUAAUUCGCCUAGUUUCAGAGUUAAUACCAAUUAAAAAAUAUAUUUUUCGUUGUGUUUUAGUGCAUAACGCCUUUUUGAUGGCUAUGUCGCCAGUCGCCACUUUGGGACCAAGUCUAGACUACCUUCUUGACAGAUAUCAAAGUCACAAGGUACCAUUUGAAUAGACUAAUUUUUACGAAAAAAAAUGUACCAAUUUAUAUUAAUCCAUAAAUUUUCCAAGAACAUGAACUAAAUAUGUUUAAAAACAUACAAAAAGUAAAAAAAAAAAACAAUUUUUUUUGCGGAAUUGACUUAAACUUGUACAUGAAAUUCUUCUUAUGAACUCAAGAAUACGUGGUUAAAAAAAUUCCGUUUCCUCACGGGCACUUUUUAUGACUUAACCUUUGAAUUUUAAGCCCUACGUAGAAAAUUAAUUAACAAUUACCUCCAAUCAUAACUUUGUUUUGUGGUGGUAGUCAUUUUUAAUAAGGAAACUGGAAAACUGUCACUGUUGCUAGGUUUGAUUAGUUAGGUGCAUGUGGCGAAAUGCAUAAACAUUACAAUAAUUUAACAACAACAAGGACAACUUCAACAGAAGGACAUGAUUUCACGAUCCUCAGCAUUGAGGGAACAAGAAGAAGAAGACAAUAAUUUAAUUGUUCUAUUCGAAUAGCGUAUUUAGUGCUUAUUCUAACGAUAUAUGCUUCAAUAUAUACUUUUAUACAUAGAUAAGCUUAAAUAGUUGAAUUUGUAAUAUUCUCUAAAUCCGCGCUGAACACCCGACGGGGCCCCGCCACGUGACUACUUUUUACGUUUUGGCUUCUGCCACUUGAAGGGAUAUACUAUAGGCCUUGACUAGUAAUUCAUUUCAAAAUAAACUAUUUUAAUAUAUACAUAUUACACAUAAGCACCCUAAUGCAAAAAUGAAGAAAAUAUAUUUUGCGAAACUUUCGAUCGAUUUUUCCACUUAUAUUUUGUAUUGGCAGGAAAAAUAGUAAAAGCAUAUCACAAAGACAUAACAAGGUCCAAGGUUUUAAAGAAGAAGGUAAAAUUGGCUGAGACCUGAAAUUGACGGCAGAGUGUCAUCGAAA
Cydia pomonella (codling moth) is the source of this 1780-nucleotide long non-coding RNA. RefSeq lists it as uncharacterized. Lineage: Eukaryota; Metazoa; Arthropoda; Insecta; Lepidoptera; Tortricidae. The transcript has 2 exons. The record is from RefSeq and is a predicted model, not a curated record.